This 85-nucleotide transfer RNA is filed under the name Candidatus Omnitrophota bacterium. RNAcentral's name for it is "Candidatus Omnitrophica bacterium tRNA-Ser". It matches the Rfam family "tRNA". From Rfam's summary of the family: Transfer RNA (tRNA) molecules are approximately 80 nucleotides in length. Their secondary structure includes four short double-helical elements and three loops (D, anti-codon, and T loops). Lineage: Bacteria; Pseudomonadati; Candidatus Omnitrophota. The record is from RNAcentral.
GGAGGGGUGGCUGAGUGGUUGAAAGCGGCGGUCUUGAAAACCGUUGUGGGGAAACUCACCGGGAGUUCGAAUCUCUCCCCCUCCG